UGAGGAAUAUUGCACAAUGGGCGAAAGCCUGAUGCAGCGACGCCGCGUGGGUGAAGAAGGUUUUCGGAUCGUAAAACCCUUUUCUGUGUGACGAGAGAGGACGGUAGCACAGGAAUAAGUCUCGGCUAACUACGUGCCAGCAGCCGCGGUAAAACGUAGGAGACAAACGUUAUCCGGAGUUACUGGGCGUAAAGGGCGUGCAGGCGGCAGCCUAAGUCUGGCGUGAAAUAUCCCGGCUUAACCGGGAGAGGUCGUCGGAUACUGGGCAGCUAGAGGGCGGUAGAGGCGUGUGGAAUUCCGGGUGUAGUGGUGAAAUGCGUAGAGAUCCGGAGGAACACCAGUGGCGAAGGCGACACGGCUGGGCCGCACCUGACGCUAAGACGCGACAGCAUGGGGGACNCG
This 402-nucleotide ribosomal RNA is filed under the name uncultured bacterium. RNAcentral's name for it is "bacterial SSU rRNA". It matches the Rfam family "Bacterial small subunit ribosomal RNA", at positions 355 to 772 of the family's 1533-position model. The record is from RNAcentral.